GACAGAGGGGGCAAGCGUUGCUCGGAAUUACUGGGCGUAAAGGGCGCGUAGGCGGGAUGGCAAGUCGGUCGUUAAAUCCCUCGGCUCAACCGAGGAACGUCGAUCGAUACCGCUGUUCUUGAGGAUUGCAGAGGAGACUGGAAUUCCCGGUGUAGCGGUGAAAUGUGUAGAGAUCGGGAGGAACACCGGUGGCGAAGGCGGGUCUCUGGGCAAUUCCUGACGCUGAGGCGCGAAAGCGUGGGGAGCAAACGGG
RNAcentral lists this ribosomal RNA (253 nucleotides) under uncultured bacterium. Its description in RNAcentral is "partial 16S ribosomal RNA". It matches the Rfam family "Bacterial small subunit ribosomal RNA", at positions 524 to 776 of the family's 1533-position model. The record is from RNAcentral.